Long non-coding RNA from Leopardus geoffroyi (Geoffroy's cat), 147 nucleotides. RefSeq lists it as uncharacterized. The record is from RefSeq and is a predicted model, not a curated record. Lineage: Eukaryota; Metazoa; Chordata; Mammalia; Carnivora; Felidae. The transcript is spliced from 4 exons.
UACAAGGAAAGAGUAAAUUCACCAGCAGAAAAAAAAAAUACCAAAAUUAUCAUUUUACAGAUUUUUAGUCUCAAAGCACAAUACAUUUUUCAUAGAAACAAAUAUAUCACCAUCAUAGGUAAGAUAAUAUGGAAACAUGUAUACACA